RNAcentral lists this ribosomal RNA (4305 nucleotides) under Triticum aestivum (bread wheat). RNAcentral's name for it is "partial small subunit ribosomal RNA". Lineage: Eukaryota; Viridiplantae; Streptophyta; Magnoliopsida; Poales; Poaceae. The record is from RNAcentral.
AUGCCCUACGUGCCCCUCAGCGCGGCGCAAUGGGUGGUGGGCAAGGCGCUGGCCCCCGUUGCAGAUGGCGUGCUGGGGGCUUGGGCUGCCACCAGGAACUUUGGUCCUAACGUCGAGGCCCUCAGCACGGAACUGCUGCUCGUGAAGGCCACGCUCGAGCAGGCUGCCCACAAGGAGCUCGGAGGCCCCGCCAUGGAGAUGCUGCUGCAGAAGCUACGGGAUUUGGCGCACAAUGCCCAAGACUUGCUGGACGAGCUGGAUUACUUCUGCAUCCACGAUGAGCUGCACAACACAUAUGAUGCAGCAGAUCAGCAUGGCAAGGGUGGCGUCCAUGACCUCGCCCUCAAUGCUCGCCACACCGCCAAAGCUGUUGGCAAAAUGGUCAAUUGUUGCCCUUGGCAGCGUGCUAAACGCCGGGAGAGGUCACGUGCCGAUUCCUCCUCGUCACCCGACGCCAAUCAAGAGGUCAGCGGAUGCAUGCCCAAGUUCGGUAAACUCCUCCCUUGCUCAUCUUCCACAGAUCCACAUGUUCGGGAAGAAGAUUGUGGCAAUGUGCAAGAAAAACCAAAGCUUGAAUUUAAUAGGGUUGAUUUCUCUCAAAAGAUGAAGGUCAUAAUAGAUAAACUGCAGCCUGUGCGUAAGGAUGUUAAUGGCCUUCUACAGAGUUGUGACUCUAGAAUUGUCCCAAACAUUGCCCAAUGUCGUCUUAUCACCAAAGGUCGAAUUGAUGAGCCAAAACUUUAUGGGAGGAACCGUGUCAUGAAUGGCAUCAUACAUGACAUCACCAAGGGUCAAUACUGUGGCAAGGGUCUAACUGUCAUUCCGGUUGUUGGUCCGGGGGGAAUGGGGAAGACUACUCUUAUACAACACAUAUAUCACAGCCAACAAGUCAAGAAUCAUUUUCCAGUCAUGAUUUGGAUAUGUGUAUCGUUCAGUUUCAAUCUGGAUAAGGUGCUAGAGCAAAUUAAAACAUGUACCCCUCGAGUUGAAAGUGAAAAAGAGUGUAGUACAAAAGAAGAGGUGAUUGAACAAAGAUUGAAAUCUAAAAGGUUCUUACUUGUAUUAGAUGAUAUAUGGAAGAUUAGUAUUGGGGAUGACUGGGGCAAAUUAUUGUCGACGCUUAGUAAAUCACAAGAAAAGGGUUCCAUGAUUAUCGUCACAACUCGGUUUCAUGCGAUAGCACAGAAGGUUGAAACAAUUGGCCACUCAAACGGGUUAGAAUCUGAAGAGUUUAGAAAAUUAUUCCUUGCAUUUGUCUUUGGUGAUGAGGAAUGGCCAAGGGAUAAACAUUUUCUGCUUGAGACUGCAGAUAAGAUAAUGGAAAAACUAAAGGGCUCCCCUCUUGCUGCAAAAACGGUUGGUAGAUUACUAAGUAAAGACCUUAGUCUGCAUCAUUGGAAAAGGGUCCUAAAAUGUAAAGAAUGGGAGAAGCAGACUGAUGACAAUGAAAUUAUGCCUGCCUUGAAGCUUAGCUAUGACUUCCUCUCUUUCCAUCUGCAGCAAUGUUUUGCCUAUUCUGCAUUGUUUCCUGAAGAUUACCCUUUCCAGCAGGACGAGUUGAUUAGUUUGUGGAUUGGACUAGAUAUUUUGAUACCUAGUGGCCAAAACCAAGCAUUCGAAGACAUAGGUCUAAGCAAUUUAAAUGAGCUAGUAAUCCAUGGAUUUUUCAGAGAAGUGGAAGUUGAUGGUGCUUUUUUGUAUUUUAUGCAUGACCUACUUCAUGAUUUGGCAUUGAAGGUUGCAUCACAUGAUUGUCUUAGCUUACGCCUCCCUAAUGUUGGAUCAGUAGAGAUUCAGUCAACCAUCCGUCACUUGUCUAUAAGCACAUAUGCCUUAGGUGAAUAUGAUGUAGUGUCUGGUGAAAAAUUAAAAAGUGAAUUGGAAGAACUGAAGACAAGAUUUAAGGUUGAAUAUCUGCAAACGUUGACGUUAUUUGGAAAAUUGGAUGAAGGUUUUGUCAAGAUAUUUGGUGAUUUUUUGGGGGAAGCGAUCUCUCUCCGUGUUCUUCAUUUGCCCAACAUGCGUAGUCCCGUGGAGUCCCUGUUACAUAACUUUUCAGGACUUUUCCACCUACGAUACCUUUGUCUAGGAACAGAGGAGAGCCAGAUGCAUUUACCACUUAGCAUCUCUAAAUUUUAUCAUUUAAGGAUUCUAGAUCUUAAAUGGUGGAAUGGCAAUCAUGAUUUGCCCAAUGACAUGAGCAACCUUGCCAAGUUGUGCCAUUUUUAUGUCCCAUGUGAUCAUCUGCUUUAUUCUGAUAUUUGUAAUAUGGGAAAACUUAAACUCUUAGAAGAGUUAAACGUAUUUCAGGUCAAUAAAAAAAGUGAAGGGUUUGAACCAAAGCAACUACAACACUUGACCAGGCUAAGGGAGCUUGGUAUCUACAACCUUGAGAAGAUAGAUACAGUAGAAGAGGCAGCUGAAGCAAAAUUGAUGGAGAAAAAAUACUUGAGGAGGUUAACAUUGGAUUGGGAUAGUGGGCGAUCUAGUGUUGAGCCUAGUGUGGAAGCAGCAAUUCUUGAGAGCCUUCAACCUCAGGGAGAUCUUCAAUUCUUGUGCAUUAGAGGGCACGGAGGCCCAUCUUCUCCAACAUGGCUGGGUGAUGAGCUCGCUGUUGAAGCUUUGCAAUCUCUUUGGCUUCUUGGUGUUUCUUGGGACGUUUUCCCUUCUUUAAGGAAGGUGUGGGAUCUUCGCGUAUUAAGGUUUGACAAUAUUGCCAGACCGAAGGAGUUUAUCAUAGAGAAAAGCUUUUGCAUGCUAACAAAGCUUGAACUCAUUGACCUAGGAAGUUUUGAAAAAUGGGUUUACCCAGCUGAACAAGAGUCUUCCUUUGGUGGAGACUUGUUCCCACCGGAUGCUCAUAUGUUCCCUCUUUUGCAAGUUCUGAUUAUUAGGAACUGUCCAAAACUGUUGGGGUUGCCUUUCUCAAACUACAUUGUUUCCCCAGAUUGGCUCCCCAAGCUAGAAGAGCUUGAGGUACAUGACUGUCCUGAAUUCUUGCCAGUGAUUCCCAUCUCCUGGAUUGAAAGUCUGCGCUCUGUCACGAUGAAAUGUGUGAAGAUGCUUAAGGAGUUUGCAUACUUACCAUCCAAUGGAGCAAAAUUGAAAAUUAUUGGAGAGGGGGGGCUGCAUAGCAUAGACCAAGUGUUACUUUUCGAUACAGAAACAUGUUUUGAGGAGCUGAUACUCAAAAGCUGCCCACCUCUGCAGUUGAAGGAGCUUCUGAUGCUAACCUCACUGAAGACAUUGUAUUUAGGACAAUCAGAUGCUCUGUUUAGAUCACUAGGAGGUCAGGGUAGUGUGGAAUGGCAGCUCCCUAUUGAGUACAUCAUGAUCAGCGACUUAAAUGGUAAUAGUUGGGAGGAAUUGACAGAGCUCCUCCCCCACCUCCCAAAGCUCUCCUCAUUGAAAAUAUGGACGUGUAACAUUAAAAAGCUGGUAUUGGCAGAGGAAGUGGAAGAUGGAGUGCUGCUCUUCCCACCUCAUCUCCAGGAAUUGGAUUGCUGGAAAUGCCCAGAGCUGGUCCUAGUGGACCCGCCAACUCUUGUUCAUGGAGCAGGAUCCCUCCGGAGAUUAAGCAUAAAGUACUGCCCAAAGUUUCUAACCUCCUUCUUGUUUUCCAGUCACAUUUUCCCUUCCUCCCUGCAGUUCCUGGCUCUUUGGGAGGUGGAAGGCAUGGAAACACUGGAGCCCCUCUCCAACCUCUCCUCCCUUGUCAAAUUAGAAUUGAUUAAUUGUGGAGAGGAUCUGAAAGGUCAGGGCUUGCAGUCUCUGCUUACCACUGGGGGGCAGCUCAACGAAUUAGUUGUCCGUGGUAGCCCUGGUUUCUUUGCUGGUUGGGAUCCCUUGGAGGAUGUUGAAGCAGGAGAAGAGCAGCAGAUACAACGCGUUUCAUCCACACCAUGGAAACUUUGCACGGAUUACGUAGCGGGGCUCCUUUCUGCACCCAUCUGCAGCUUUCUCUCUUCCUCCCUCACCAAUCUGGAGCUUUGUGGGCUUAGGUUUGCUGAAGGGAUGGAGCGCUUCAGCAAGGAGCAAGAGGACGCCCUUCAGCUCCUCUCCUCCCUCCACCAACUAGAGUUUUGGGAUUUCCGUCACCUUCAGCAACUCCCUACAGGGCUGCGCAACCUUACCAGCCUCAAGAUAUUAUCAAUCCACCACUGUCCUGCCGUCUCAUCAUUGCCCAAUGAUGGCCUCCCCAAAUCACUACAAGAGCUAGAUAUCAGAUUCUGCGCCAACCAGGAGCUAAAACAGCAAUGCAAUGGGUUGGUGGGAACCAUCCCAAAAAUCUUACUGGGCCGCUAG